UUUUCAUGCGAUUCAAAAAUGAUAGUGUGGAGUCAGAGCAAAGAUUGUGAACCCGUGGAAUGUGAAGAUCAUCUCGGUUGGUUGGUAAAAUUUAUUUGAUUUAAUGUGUUACCAAUAAAAAACUAAGUUAUGCUUGUAGGAAAAAUCAAAUUAAUUGUCUUAAUUUCUUGCUGCAAUGGAAAAAAAAAAUGGUUCCCUUUCAUUUAUGCUUGUAGGAAAAUCAGAAUGAUUGCUUUCAAGGUCAAUGGUUUGUUAGACCCCUGGAACCAUUAUGCACAUAAGUAGUUAAUAGUUACCCCUUCCUUUGUGCUUUAAUUAUCUUGAUUUGUAUCGCUACAAUGAAAUAUGAUUGCUAUUAUUUACCUGUAAGAAUUUCACUGCAUCGAAUAUGUAUAUUUACCAAAAUAAAAAGUACAUGGGAGGGGGGAUUGCUCAUGAAUUUCUAAGAUUGGUCCUAAUUGUAUAAUGGCUUGCUCAAAUUGGUUGCCUAUGUUGUGAAGCCUACAUACCAAAUAAUUUUCACACACCUUAUCAUUAUUUAAGAUUUGCAUAGAAAAAGGAGGACACACUUGUUAUUGCAAAGGGAAACUCUUUUUUGUUAAUAGCUUGUGUUAUAUGAAAGUGUUCUCUCAUGAUUUUGCGCUUAUCCUGUGUUUCUGACUGCAGAUUCCUUGUCCGCAAUGAUAUGCCUCUCAGAGUGCUUCCCAAGUUUAUUGGGGUUCAACUUGUUAACUUUCAUAUUCAAUUGUAUUUCAAGAACACUACACCUCUCAUUGAUAAGCAGAGCUGCAGUUUUUUCUUUUUGUUUCCCAAAUUAUUUGCCUACCUUGUGUUUGUAAGAACUUCAAUUCUAGCACUGUUGCAGAGGCUUUGAUGCGGAGAAUAAGGGUGACAAUGGAGAUCUUCACACAGCCUACACUGGCAAAGGGAAAGGAGACGACUCUGAAUCAUUAAUGUGUUACCAGUAAGAGUUCCAUUGAAUUAGAUACUUUUAAUUCCUAGUCAAUUGGCGGACAUACCUUUGUUUUAAUUUGAGCCUCUAUGAAGAGGACUAAGGGCUGGUUUGGUAUU
Non-coding RNA from Malus domestica (apple), 1071 nucleotides. The record is from RefSeq and is a predicted model, not a curated record. Lineage: Eukaryota; Viridiplantae; Streptophyta; Magnoliopsida; Rosales; Rosaceae.